GCAAAACGCGAAGAACCUUACCAGGCCUUGACAUGCAGAGAACUUUCCAGAGAUGGAUUGGUGCCUUCGGGAACGUCUGACACAGGUGCUGCAUGGCUGUCGUCAGCUCGUGUCGUGAGAUGUUGGGUUAAGUCCCGUAACGAGCGCAACCCUUGUCCUUAGUUACCAGCACGUUAUGGUGGGCACUCUAAGGAGACUGCCGGUGACAAACCGGAGGAAGGUGGGAUGACGUCAAGUCAUCAUGGCCCUUACGGCCUGGGCUACACACGUGCUACAAUGGUCGGUACAGAGGGUUGCCAAGCCGCGAGGUGGAGCUAAUCUCACAAAACCGAUCGUAGUCCGGAUCGCAGUCUGCAACUCGACUGCGUGAAGUCGGAAUCGCUAGUAAUCGCG
Molecule: ribosomal RNA, 393 nt
Filed under: uncultured bacterium
Lineage: Bacteria
Description: bacterial SSU rRNA
Rfam family: Bacterial small subunit ribosomal RNA
Source: RNAcentral